Molecule: non-coding RNA, 2345 nt
Filed under: Pan troglodytes (chimpanzee)
Lineage: Eukaryota; Metazoa; Chordata; Mammalia; Primates; Hominidae
Source: RNAcentral
AUUAAAGGGCUCGCGGCCAACAAAAAGGCAACCCCGGGGGUGGCGAAAAGCGUCCUUCGGGCAGGACUAGUGCGGAGCCCCGCGGGGAGCACCCCAGCAGGGAAGUCCCGAUCUUCCCACGUGCUGGGAAGCCUCCCAUGUGCUGGCUCUGUCUCGCCAUCCCACUCACCUUCCCAGGGAGGGAUGCCCUAGAACGCGGCCCGGCCCGCCUUUUGAAGGGGGAAAGUGGGGCGCCUCUGAGCCUCUGCCUGGGGUGGGGGCGGGCCAGGUCCUCUGCCAACUCAAAGACGAGGCAGGGCGCCAGCGCUGGAGGCGUGGCUGUGCCUGAGAGCCGUUGAAGGAGGGAGCCCCGCCUUCCCUCUCCUGUCUCCUAGUUCUCCUAUUGCGCUUUUCCUGGGGGAUCUUUCUCCCUCUGUCUCCGCCCCCUAAUCCAUGCUCCCGAUAAUGAGGGUGGGGGAUGGUGGUAGGAGAACGCUCGGCGCCUGCGCACUAGCUUCAGGCCGCGGGCUGGCCCAAGAGCGGAGGUAGAGGGAACGACGCAUGCUUGAGAAAUGGCGGGAAACAGAAGAGGCUCGAGGCUUGCGCACACGCCCACAGCCAACUGCUUCUGGACCGCCUGAAAGGCAACCUCGCCCGCCGCGGUGGUGUGGGGCGGGCAUCCCUUGAGACUGUGCUCUGGAGGCCUGGAGAAACAGCUUUCUAUCCUCAGCACUGGGGAGAGCAGGCCUCAAUCCCUGUCUUUGCCUGCCGCCCCUCCUCCUUCCCUCUCAAAGCAUACCCAGCAGACCCGGCGCUGAGAAACGCGUUACUCUCUUAUCAGCUGUGGGAGAGACAAGACAGACUGGCCUCUGGGCGGAGGGGCCGCCAUUGCCUGCCCUCUGGACCAGGGCCUCACAGAUACCCUCAGCUUCAGGAUUAGGGCUGCGUUGCUUUUUCCCCCCACAUCAGGGGACUUCAACAAGUAACCUCCAGUUCCAUAGAUAAAAUUUGCAUUCCCCCCUUCUCCAUGGCGGGGGUUUUGAGCCUAGAGAAGGAAGAUCGGAGCUUCCUGGGGCUCCUGUGAAGCAGGCAGGGGGCAGCACUGGGCCCCGGGAAGAGGCGGAGAAGGCGAGGGAGUGCCUGCGGUGAGCCCAGAGCCUUAGGCCCGUUAUCCUCUGAUGCUGCUCCCCCAACUUUCCUGCCGUCAGUCCCUGACCUUGCCUGAGACCUUGGCGGCUCCCGCACCUCUCUCCCGGCUCCUCCUUGCUGAGAACACAACCCGCAAGGCCCUUCCGCCUGGCUGGACUGAGUCCCCUAUGGAGGCAGCCUGGCAGGGAGCAGGUGUCUUCCUGGCAGAAGAGGACAGACCUGGUAAACUGAGAGACUGUUGAUGCCCCGAUGUUCUGCCUAGCCUGCCUGGAAACUCCAGAAGGAUACAGCAAGAAAGCAGCAUCUGCAAGAAAGCCCUCACCAGGACCAAAUCAGCUGACACCUCAACCUUGGACUACCCAGCUUCCCGAACUGUGAGGUAUAGAUUUUUAUUGUUGAAGUCACCAAGGCUACGGUGUUUUUAAUAGCAGCCCAAGUCCAGGAAUACAUCAUCUGACUCACUGUUUUGAAUCAAACUCUUCAGUUUCUCCAUCAACUUAGCUGGCAGCUCCUGUCCCCAGCAGCAUCAGAGGCCCCAUGAAAAGAGCUCCAGCAGGGGCUCAGCCUGCACGGGUCCCAUGGGGCAGCCUCAGUGUCAGGGCCUGGAUGGCAGGUGAGACUCCAGUGACACAACCACAAUGUGAAAGUGUAAGAGUUUUUAACUACUUACAGAUACUGGAAAGCACAGGGCACACCUGGAGACCACAGACACUGGGGUCAGAGAGCCCAGGCAGGGAGGAGAGAAGGGAACUGUAGGCCAAUGGCUUUAUUGGGUCCAGGGUGUUGUUGACAGGUUUCCAGAAGGGAGCUUUAAUGGGUGUGUUUAAAGCAGGCAAACACUGGGGCAAGAAGAUCACACUGUGACUGAGAGGUGGUCACUUUAAAUUGGAGGGCAAAUGUCACAACUGUUUCAGUUUAAAGGAAGCAGCUGGCGAGAGGGGAGCCCAGCACACUAUGCAAGAGAGAUGCCUCUAAGAUUUUAUCUGUGGCCACCGACUGGAGCCAUUUGGACCGGGUACAGCAGUGGAAACUCUGUGAUGGUGACAAAUAUGGGAAUCACUCUGAUGUGACGCAGUUAAAUUUACACCUUAAAAAAUGGAUGCCAAGACAACAUAAACAAGACCCAGGGACACCAACAGGGUAUGGUGCUGUGCCCCAGAGUCAGGGUCCUGGGUUCUUACCCAGGGAAGUGAGAAAUAAAGAUAACUUUUCCCUGC